RNAcentral lists this ribosomal RNA (274 nucleotides) under uncultured bacterium. RNAcentral describes it as "partial 16S ribosomal RNA". It matches the Rfam family "Bacterial small subunit ribosomal RNA", at positions 524 to 796 of the family's 1533-position model. The record is from RNAcentral.
UACGGAGGGUGCGAGCGUUGUUCGGAAUUAUUGGGCGUAAAGCGCGCGUAGGCGGCUCUUUAAGUCUCUUGGUGAAAGGCCGGGGCUCAACCCUGAGCAUGCCGGGGAUACUGGGGAGCUGGAGACAGGCAGAGGCCAGCGGAAUUCCGGGUGUAGCGGUGGAAUGCGUAGAGAUCCGGAAGAACACCGGAGGCGAAGGCGGCUGGCUGGGCCUGAUCUGACGCUGAGGUGCGAAAGCGUGGGGAGCGAACAGGAUUAGAAACCCCCGUAGUCC